This is an RNA transcript of Malaya genurostris, 3590 nucleotides long. It is a transcript of the gene named cation-independent mannose-6-phosphate receptor, with no coding region annotated. The record is from RefSeq and is a predicted model, not a curated record. The transcript has 7 exons. Lineage: Eukaryota; Metazoa; Arthropoda; Insecta; Diptera; Culicidae.
AAGCUGGCAACACAGCAAGCAGGCCGACGGCGGUGUUUACGACAGUCAGCAGUUUUCACGUUUGCUUUGCCGUUUCGCUCGCACGUCAGUCGGCGGUUUGUGCGUGGUGGAGAAAAGUCUGCGUCUCGGUUUUUGCUUGGUCGCGUGAUCGCGAUUCGAAAAGGAUACCCGCAAUAUAAAUAGUGUAGUGUUUGUUUGGAAAGUGUCCGAGCUAAAGAAGUUGAUAGAGCAUAUUAUUCGUCACAACUAACUAAGUUGAAAAAGUUAGGAUUUACCAUUUUCGAUUCUCAGUGUUCAGGUUCUUUGUGUUGUGAUUGGAUAAGCCUUAUCAGUCCGGGCGACUGUCGGAGGUGUCCGAUUGAAUAUUUUUAUUUUAUUAUUACCUGUGUCUCGAGCCAAGAAUUGAUUGUAGUGAAAGACGUGUAGCCGUCGGUAUUUCUGAAAAAUAAACAGGACUAUUGCGCGUUGAAUAGAACCGUAGUCACACACAAUAGAAAUCGGGAUUGGAAAGCGAUCGGAAAAAUGACAACAGACUUGAAAAAAUCAAUACACCACCCCCAGAGGUGGUGGUAUUUUCGUGCGUACAGGUGUUCGGCAAUGAUUUCGAUGGUACUGAUGAUAGUAGCGAUGUUUCCUGUGCGAACAAAUGGGAACAGUCUUAUUUUGACCGGGGAAAAUUGUGCUGUCAAAGAACCGCUCUACAACAUCACAUUCAACCUAUCGGCACUAAAUUCCGAUCUGGCACAUCAUGCAACGUCGGACAUCAAUGAACGGUUUAUCUUCGAUGUGUGCGACCAGUUGGACAUCAAAUGUAACGGUGUAACGGGGGGCGCUGCCUGUCUACGGAGGAAAGAUGGAACGGAAGUGCAACUCGGUAGGAAGUCUACCUUGCAGCUGGUGGAUGGCAGAAUACAUUUCAAUUUCACUGGUGGUGAACCGUGUCAGAAGGGGAGAAAUUAUUCCUUCGACAUUAUUCUGAUGUGCAGCUAUACGAUGGAACCCGAAUCGAUGAGUGUGGUUCCGUACUCGAGCGACCAGUGCAAUUAUUUUAUGUUCUGGUCAACGAAGCUGGCCUGCGCUCCCUUACCGGACAUCGUAAAGAACAAUGAAUGUUCCGUGAAAGACGCUACCGGAUAUGUUUUCAACUUUCUACCAUUAAGCCAUGUCAAUCAUCAUGUACCCGAUAGGAAUGGAUCGCACUUUUUUGUAACUGCAUGCAAACCUGUUCACUACGGCCAUAUGACCAUGUGUCCUCUUGGCAGCAGCGUUUGCUACGUGAACAAGACCGAGGACGACUACACUCGUAAAUAUCAUGACUAUGGACAAACUGAUCCCAAUCCAACCAUCGAACAAGGAAAACUUGUAAUGAAUUUUAAGUCAAAGGAGGGAACUUGUCAAAAUUCGAAAAUCCUGUUUGAGUGUGACCCGGCCGCAACGGAGGAAGUUCCGGAGUAUGUUGGAAUGGAAGGUUGUACGCAUUUGUUCUCAUGGCGAACAUCGUUCGCCUGUAAGAAAACCGAACCUUGUUCUGUGGUGGAUCCCAUCAGCGGGUUAGUAUUCAAUAUGACUUCCCUAGCGAAACAAACCUAUACUGUGAAGCAAGGCGAGGCAACUUAUGAGUUUGGUAUUUGCGAUAUGACAAAAAGUCGCUGCCCGGAUCAAUCCGGUGCCUGUCAGAUAGCUUCGGAUAAUUCACAAGCUGUCAGCUUGGGAACCAUCAACGACAAACUGCUGUAUAACAUCACGGGAGCGCCUUACCUACGCUACACAUCAGGUUCAAUUUGUGAUCACUCCAACAGCAAAUGGUCUACCAGAAUAGAAUUCAUCUGUCAAACAGACAAAGGAGAAAAACUACCUCCCAAACUGGUAGAGAAUGCUGGCUGCGAAGUAAUUAUUCAAAUAGAAACCGAACUUGCGUGCACCAGAGAUAUCUCCUGUUCUGCAAUGAAUUUCUCCAGUGAUCGGGAAGUGGAUCUGAGUCCGUUGAUUUCUGCGGAUCACAAUUACGAAGCUCUGGUCAACAGUUCAUUGCAGCAGGUCGCAAAUAAACGACAGAAGUUCUACUUGAACGUUUGUCGUCCGCUGUUAUCCACGUUUGGCCUUGGUUGUCCGGGAGGAUCCGCCGCGUGUCUUGCAGUUCAAGGUCCGUCAGAUCUCACACCGACCAGUGAACUAUCGCUCGGCUAUCCGGAUGUAUCGUUGACAAUCGUUGGAGAACGGGCACAGCUUCGGUAUCUUCGUGGCGAUGAUUGUCCGCAGGACAAUGCUACAAAGCUUUCCACCGAGAUAGAAUUUUAUUGUGCCCCCGAGGCAGGUCGUGGAAAUCCGAUUUUACAGGAGAUAUUACACGAUUGCCACUAUCGAUUCGAGUGGCCCACGAAUGUGGUUUGUCCAAGCACUAAAGCGGACUUCACUUCUAGUGAUUGUGUGAUAUUCAAUGGUCAAACUAAGACAAAAGUUGAUUUACGGGAUAUUUUCGCUAACGGGGCACUGAUUGUAGAUCCUAGUCCGAAAAGUAAAUCGGAAGAACUGAAGGAUGGGAAAGUGUUACUUUGCAGUAAAAAUAUAAGCGCAGUUGUGGACUAUAGCAAACAGGCUGUGAAAAUGUUUUUCACAGUGACGGAUGCAUUAUGCGAAGGAACAGGAGGUACGGUCAACGUUAAUCUACGAGUUAACUGUGCGGAUGAGCAGAGUUUCUCCAUGAACGAGCAAAGUGCUUGUCAUCUGAUAUUAACUCAGCAGACACCAAAAAUAUGCGCUUUCGUUGGCGCUUCCUCAAGAACGGGUGGAAAUGACGAUAAAGAUCACUCGACGGAACACAACCUGUCGUCAACUCCGGAAACUAAAACCUCAACUCAAACAGAAAGUUCAUCCAGUAUGAAUGACAAUUCUGCGGAAGUGUCCGGAUCUCCUGGAAGUGCACUUGGAAUCAUUUUGGCAGCCUUAACGCUGGUGUCUUUGACCGGAGCCGCAGCUCUACUCCUCUGGCGAAAUCCGGCCCGACGUGAAUGCGUGCGAUCGCUGUUCGGAAGGCGCAACGUCUCGGUGCAGUACUCUAGGGACGGCUUUUCCAGUUAGCAAUCUUUUCACACAUCUGAGCACAGAGUGUUGUGGAAUCCUUCUAUGAACUUUGAUCCCAGUUUUUGCCCCGUUACUGCAGUUGAAAGGUAAGCAAUGAGGAAGCCAAUCUUUUGAUGCACACCCCGGGAACGAUUUCCGAUAGUGAUGAUGAAUUACUUAUUUAAAAACGCUUUCCAAGUACUUGGCCUUAUCAGAGAUAAUAUGAAAGCAACAGAUCGACCAAAGUUGUAGCUAGGAAAUAUGAGAAUGGCUUUUUUAUUUAAACACUUGUUUUUUUUUGUUUAAGGCCGUUGCGAGCGAAGCUCGAAUUUGUUACUUAAAUGAAAUAAAUAUCCUAAACACAUCAAAUUUGAUUUCAAUGAGUGAGACAUUUAUAAAUAAAACUUAGGCGUAUUCAGAAUGUAUGAUUUGUACUUUAUAAUUAACAUAUUUUUUAUACUAAGAGUAAAAAACUAGAAGAUUAGUGAAAAUACGACGUACUAUAAACACGACAGUGAUUUAUUUACAUG